This 154-nucleotide ribosomal RNA is filed under the name uncultured bacterium. RNAcentral describes it as "partial 16S ribosomal RNA". It matches the Rfam family "Bacterial small subunit ribosomal RNA", at positions 340 to 507 of the family's 1533-position model. The record is from RNAcentral.
UACGGGAGGCAGCAGGGGGGAAUUUUCCGCAAUGGGCGAAAGCCUGACGGAGCAAUACCGCGUGAGGGAAGACGGCCUAUGGGUUGUAAACCUCUUUUUUCAGGGAGGAACAAAAUGACGUGUACCUGAAGAAUAAGCAUCGGCUAACUCCGUG